This 253-nucleotide ribosomal RNA is filed under the name uncultured bacterium. RNAcentral describes it as "partial 16S ribosomal RNA". It matches the Rfam family "Bacterial small subunit ribosomal RNA", at positions 524 to 776 of the family's 1533-position model. The record is from RNAcentral.
GACGAACCGUGCAAACGUUGUUCGGAAUCACUGGGCUUAAAGGGCGCGUAGGCGGGCUGGCCAGUCAGGGGUGAAAGCCCACGGCUCAACCGUGGAAGUGCCUUUGAUACUGCCAGUCUGGAGGGAGGUAGGGGCGUGCGGAACUUCCGGUGGAGCGGUGAAAUGCGUAGAUAUCGGAAGGAACACCGGUGGCGAAAGCGGCGCGCUGGACCUCUACUGACGCUGAGGCGCGAAAGCCAGGGGAGCAAACGGG